UACGUAGGGAGCGAGCGUUGUUCGGAUUUACUGGGCGUAAAGGGCGCGUAGGCGGCAGGGCGUGUCAAGUGUGAAAUCUCCGGGCUCAACCCGGAAAGUGCGCUUGAAACUACCUUGCUUAGAGUACGGAAGAGGGAAUCGGAAUACAGGGUGUAGCGGUGUAAUGCGUUGAUAUCCUGUAGAACACCGGAGGCGAAGGCGGAUUCCUGGUACGUUACUGACGCUGAGGCGCGAAAGUCGGGGGAGCAAA
Molecule: ribosomal RNA, 250 nt
Filed under: uncultured prokaryote
Description: partial 16S ribosomal RNA
Rfam family: Bacterial small subunit ribosomal RNA
Source: RNAcentral